Molecule: non-coding RNA, 81 nt
Filed under: human gut metagenome
Description: Glycine riboswitch
Rfam family: Glycine riboswitch aptamer
About the family: This family represents the bacterial glycine riboswitch. Glycine riboswitches usually consist of two metabolite-binding aptamers domains with similar structures in tandem. The aptamers cooperatively bind glycine to regulate the expression of downstream genes.
Source: RNAcentral
AACUCUGGAGAGUCUCAUGUAUGGAGCGCCGAAGGUGUACAGCACACAAUGUGCCAAUCUCUCAGGCAAAAGGACAGAGCA